This 468-nucleotide ribosomal RNA is filed under the name uncultured bacterium. RNAcentral describes it as "partial 16S ribosomal RNA". It matches the Rfam family "Bacterial small subunit ribosomal RNA", at positions 28 to 507 of the family's 1533-position model. The record is from RNAcentral.
GACGAACGCUGGCGGCGUGCUUAACACAUGCAAGUCGAACGGAAAGGCCCUGCUUUUGUGGGGUGCUCGAGUGGCGAACGGGUGAGUAACACGUGAGUAACCUGCCCUUGACUUUGGGAUAACUUCAGGAAACUGGGGCUAAUACCGGAUAGGAGCUCCUGCUGCAUGGUGGGGGUUGGAAAGUUUCGGCGGUUGGGGAUGGACUCGCGGCUUAUCAGCUUGUUGGUGGGGUAGUGGCUUACCAAGGCUUCGACGGGUAGCCGGCCUGAGAGGGUGACCGGCCACAUUGGGACUGAGAUACGGCCCAGACUCCUACGGGAGGCAGCAGUGGGGAAUAUUGCACAAUGGGCGGGAGCCUGAUGCAGCAACGCCGCGUGCGGGAUGACGGCCUUCGGGUUGUAAACCGCUUUCGCCUGUGACGAAGCGUGAGUGACGGUAAUGGGUAAAGAAGCACCGGCUAACUACGUG